GAGUGUGUGUGUGCGACGUGGCACAUUGACACACUUUCCAUCCACAAACUUUAAAAAUAAGGUUGAGAUUUCACAUUCUUCUUCCUUCUCUUUUCCAGAGAUUUGGAAGAACAUGACCUGAAAGUCUCCUUCAACGAACUAUGACAAAUAAAAUGAUGGCCAUAAUGAGCCUCAGAGGAAGAAGUUGGAAGGUUGCCUUCAUGAAGACUCAUCUCUACAAGAUAAUCUGUGACGCUGUCUUGAGCUCAUAUGAUAAAACUACAACAAAG
Perca fluviatilis (European perch) is the source of this 269-nucleotide long non-coding RNA. RefSeq lists it as uncharacterized. Lineage: Eukaryota; Metazoa; Chordata; Actinopteri; Perciformes; Percidae. The record is from RefSeq and is a predicted model, not a curated record. The transcript has 3 exons.